This 482-nucleotide ribosomal RNA is filed under the name uncultured bacterium. Its description in RNAcentral is "partial 16S ribosomal RNA". It matches the Rfam family "Bacterial small subunit ribosomal RNA", at positions 30 to 507 of the family's 1533-position model. The record is from RNAcentral.
AUUGAACGCUGGCGGCAUGCCUUACACAUGCAAGUCGAACGGUAACAGGUCUUCGGAUGCUGACGAGUGGCGAACGGGUGAGUAAUACAUCGGAACGUGCCCGAUCGUGGGGGAUAACGAAGCGAAAGCUUUGCUAAUACCGCAUACGAUCUACGGAUAAAAGCAGGGGACCGCAAGGCCUUGCGCGAACGGAGCGGCCGAUGGCAGAUUAGGUAGUUGGUGGGAUAAAAGCUUACCAAGCCGACGAUCUGUAGCUGGUCUGAGAGGACGACCAGCCACACUGGGACUGAGACACGGCCCAGACUCCUACGGGAGGCAGCAGUGGGGAAUUUUGGACAAUGGGCGAAAGCCUGAUCCAGCCAUGCCGCGUGCAGGAUGAAGGCCUUCGGGUUGUAAACUGCUUUUGUACGGAACGAAAAGACUCUGGUUAAUACCUGGGGUCCAUGACGGUACCGUAAGAAUAAGCACCGGCUAACUACGUG